AGCGACAGGGAGGGAUGCGCGCCUGGGUGUAGUUGUGGGGGAGGAAGUGGCUAGCUCAGGGCUUCAGGGGACAGACAGGGAGAGAUGACUGAGUUAGAUGAGACGAGGGGGCGGGCUGGGGGUGCGAGAAGGAAGCUUGGCAAGGAGACUAGGUCUAGGGGGACCACAGUGGGGCAGGCUGCAUGGAAAAUAUCCGCAGGGUCCCCCAGGCAGAACAGCCACGCUCCAGGCCAGGCUGUCCCUACUGCCUGGUGGAGGGGGAACUUGACCUCUGGGAGGGCGCCGCUCUUGCAUAGCUGAGCGAGCCCGGGUGCGCUGGUCUGUGUGGAAGGAGGAAGGCAGGGAGAGGUAGAAGGGGUGGAGGAGUCAGGAGGAAUAGGCCGCAGCAGCCCUGGAAAUGAUCAGGAAGGCAGGCAGUGGGUGCAGGGCUGCAGGAGGGCCGGGAGGGCUAAUCUUCAACUUGUCCAUGCCAGCAGCCCCUUUUUUUCCAGACCAAGGGCUGUGAACCCGCCUGGGGAUGAGGCCUGGUCUUGUGGAACUGAACUUAGCUCGACGGGGCUGACCGCUCUGGCCCAGGGUGGUGGCAGUGCUCCUUUUGGACUUUUCUCUAGUGUUCCUCAUGGCGAGCAGAUGGAACCGGGAGACAUGGAGUCCCUGGCCAGUGUGAGUCCUAGCAUUGCAGGAGGGGAGACCCUGGAGGAGAGAGCCCGCCUCAAUUGAUGCCUGCAGAUUGAAUUUCCAGAGGCUUAGGAGGAGGAAGUUCUCCAAUGUUCUGUUUCCAGGCCUUGCUCAGGAAGCCCUGUAUUCAGGAGGCUACCAUUUAAAGUUUGCAGAUGAGCUUAUGGGGGGCAAUCUUAAAAAGUCCACAGCAGAUGCAUCCGGCUCGAGGGGCCAUCAGCUUUGAAUAAAUGCUUGUUCCAGAGCCCAUGAAUGCCAGCAGGCACCCCUCCUUUCCUGGGGUAAAGGUUUUCAGAUGCUGCAUCUUCUAAAUUGAGCCUCCGGUCAUACUAGUUUUGUGCUUGGAACCUUGCUUCAAGAAGAUCCCUAAGCUGU
This is a long non-coding RNA of Homo sapiens (human), 1053 nucleotides long. Ensembl annotates it as nuclear paraspeckle assembly transcript 1. Its record names the gene NEAT1. The record is from Ensembl. NCBI's taxonomy places the organism in Eukaryota, Metazoa, Chordata, Mammalia, Primates, Hominidae.